This 207-nucleotide ribosomal RNA is filed under the name uncultured bacterium. RNAcentral describes it as "partial 16S ribosomal RNA". It matches the Rfam family "Bacterial small subunit ribosomal RNA", at positions 568 to 774 of the family's 1533-position model. The record is from RNAcentral.
CUCGUAGGCGGUUAGUCACGUCGGAUGUGAAAUCCCAAGGCUUAACCUUGGGCCUGCAUUCGAUACGGGCUGACUAGAGUGUUGUAGGGGAGACUGGAACUCCUGGUGUAGCGGUGAAAUGCGCAGAUAUCAGGAAGAACACCGGUGGCGAAGGCGGGUCUCUGGGCAACUACUGACGCUGAGGAGCGAAAGCGUGGGGAGCAAACA